CUGGUCAGGACGAACGCUGGCGGCGUGCCUAAUACAUGCAAGUCGAACGAACUCUGGUAUUGAUUGGUGCUUGCAUCAUGMUUUACAUUUGAGUGAGUGGCGAACUGGUGAGUAACACGUGGGAAACCUGCCCAGAAGCGGGGGAUAACACCUGGAAACAGAUGCUAAUACCGCAUAACAACUUGGACCGCAUGGUCCGAGUUUGAAAGAUGGCUUCGGCUAUCACUUUUGGAUGGUCCCGCGGCGUAUUAGCUAGAUGGUGAGGUAACGGCUCACCAUGGCAAUGAUACGUAGCCGACCUGAGAGGGUAAUCGGCCACAUUGGGACUGAGACACGGCCCAAACUCCUACGGGAGGCAGCAGUAGGGAAUCUUCCACAAUGGACGAAAGUCUGAUGGAGCAACGCCGCGUGAGUGAAGAAGGGUUUCGGCUCGUAAAACUCUGUUGUUAAAGAAGAACAUAUCUGAGAGUAACUGUUCAGGUAUUGACGGUAUUUAACCAGAAAGCCACGGCUAACUACGUGCCAGCAGCCGCGGUAAUACGUAGGUGGCAAGCGUUGUCCGGAUUUAUUGGGCGUAAAGCGAGCGCAGGCGGUUUUUUAAGUCUGAUGUGAAAGCCUUCGGCUCAACCGAAGAAGUGCAUCGGAAACUGGGAAACUUGAGUGCAGAAGAGGACAGUGGAACUCCUGUGUAGCGGUGAAAUGCGUAGAUAUAUGGAAGAACACCAGUGGCGAAGGCGGCUGUCUGGUCUGUAACUGACGCUGAGGCUCGAAAGUAUGGGUAGCAAACAGGAUUAGAUACCCUGGUAGUCCAUACCGUAACGAUGAAUGCUAAGUGUUGGAGGGUUUCCGCCCUUCAGUGCUGCAGCUAACGCAUUAAGCAUUCCGCCUGGGGAGUACGGCCGCAAGGCUGAAACUCAAAGGAAUUGACGGGGGCCCGCACAAGCGGUGGAGCAUGUGGUUUAAUUCGAAGCUACGCGAAGAACCUUACCAGGUCUUGACAUACUAUGCAAAUCUAAGAGAUUAGACGUUCCCUUCGGGGACAUGGAUACAGGUGGUGCAUGGUUGUCGUCAGCUCGUGUCGUGAGAUGUUGGGUUAAGUCCCGCAACGAGCGCAACCCUUAUUAUCAGUUGCCAGCAUUAAGUUGGGCACUUCUGGUGAGACUGCCGGUGACAAACCGGAGGAAGGUGGGGAUGACGUCAAAUCAUCAUGCCCCUUAUGACCUGGGCUACACACGUGCUACAAUGGAUGGUACAACGAGUUGCGAACUCGCGAGAGUAAGCUAAUUCUCUUAAAGCCAUUCUCAGUUCGGAUUGUAGGCUGCAACUCGCCCUACAUGAAGUCGGAAUCGCUAGUA
Molecule: ribosomal RNA, 1355 nt
Filed under: Lactiplantibacillus plantarum
Lineage: Bacteria; Bacillati; Bacillota; Bacilli; Lactobacillales; Lactobacillaceae
Description: bacterial SSU rRNA
Rfam family: Bacterial small subunit ribosomal RNA
Source: RNAcentral